Molecule: long non-coding RNA, 1504 nt
Filed under: Anolis carolinensis (green anole)
Lineage: Eukaryota; Metazoa; Chordata; Lepidosauria; Squamata; Anolidae
Description: lncRNA (ENSACAG00000039472.1)
Source: RNAcentral
UAAUUAGUUUCCUGUUCAAUUUAAUUUAUUUUAUUUCUUUCUGCUUCAUUGUGAAAUAUGAAAAAUUUGGCACUCCUAUUAGAAUUACAGAUCAGGAUAGGAAAAAAAUACCCACCCCUUGGUGUUUUGUUUUGUUGAAAGUGAGCCUUUGGGCUUGUUUGCUUGUAGAAUGAGUUUAUUGACAGUGCUAAUGGCGUUUAAAGGGAGACAGAGAUGUCACUAUUACUGUUCAAAUGCAUUGUAAUUAAUCUGAAGUAUGCUAGAGGGAAACUAAGCUGAUGGGACCAUAGCCAUAAAGUUUGUUUGUUUGUUUGUUGACUAAGAGGCACGUUGUAAUUAUAAUUGCUCCCGGAUCCCAAGUGGCUAAUAGAUGUAGGACACAUUAGGAUUUUGCCAGCACUGAUUCCUUGCAUGCAAAUCCAUACCUAAACAUAUUUAUUUAUUCCUGCUUAUAACCUCGGAGUAUUUGUUUUGUAGUAAAGAACCGUCUGUGCCCUCUGGCUCUUGCAGAAAAAGAGCAUGCUGGAUGAUUUCUGCAUGCAAAACCAGUGUCCCUACUGUACUCUUUAUUCUUUCAAGUAUGACCCCAAUAUCCACAGAACUUGUACUUGCAAUUUUAUUUAUACCCAUCUGACAAUCUAUGUCAUAUAUUAACCUUUUCGGUCUUCCAUGAUGACUCUACUGGGUUAUUUUUGGGCCAGAAGUCCUUCAUUUCAAUAGAGUUCACCAUUAUCUUCAAUUAUGCAGAUCAAUGAGAAUCUUGGGAAUGUAUUUCCCUGUAUUAUUAUAUUAUAUUAUAUUAUAUUAUAUUAUAUUAUAUUAUAUUAUAUUAUAUUAUAUUAUAUUAUUCUCGCUUUUUCCCAGCCUUAACUGAAGGCAGUCUUUAUGAUUCCUGGAUCCGUCAUUCAGAGAAAAUAGUGUUAGGUGACAUCAGAGGAGAGCUAGAGAGGAAUUAUAAUUGGUGACUUCCAUGUCACUGGAAAAAUAAGGACACUGUCAGUUAGAGCCUGAACUUUAAAAGAAUUAGAUACAGUGAUGAACCUACUGUACUCUUAAAACAUGUUCAGCACCACGGAGAACUCCAUUAAGGUUUAAGCUAGAAUGCAGACUAAAGUUGGCCCUCCACAUUUGUGAGUUUGACUUUUGUGUAUUUGUUAGGUGGUACACUAUGACUGUAUUGUCAACCUCUAUCAGAUUCCUCGAGGCAGCACCUCUCUAGGCAUCUCUAGGAACUCCUGUGCAAUUUGGGUGGAAAAUAAUCACAGAACUAUGCUGAAAGACCUACAAAUCCAUAGAGAAAUAUUCUCUUGGGUUUAAAAGAAUUGUUUUUUUUUGUUUGUGGUUCUCCCUCUUUUGCUAGGGUAUUCACUGCUAAGCCCACUCUUAAGCCCAGCCACUCUGGGGCCACUUAUGACAUUAUCUGAUCCAAUGGCCUUAGACACAACAUAAAUACAGCACUAUUAUUCCACUAUAAUUGCCAAGGCAAUGCCCUAUUGGUCUUAGA